This 440-nucleotide ribosomal RNA is filed under the name uncultured bacterium. RNAcentral's name for it is "partial 16S ribosomal RNA". It matches the Rfam family "Bacterial small subunit ribosomal RNA", at positions 338 to 795 of the family's 1533-position model. The record is from RNAcentral.
CCUACGGGUGGCAGCAGUGGGGAAUAUUGCACAAUGGGGGAAACCCUGAUGCAGCGACGCCGCGUGAGUGAAGAAGUAUUUCGGUACGUAAAGCUCGAUCAGCAGGGAAGAAAAUGACGGUACCUGACUAAGAAGCCCCGGCUAACUACGUGCCAGCAGCCGCGGUAAUACGUAGGGGGCAAGCGUUAUCCGGAUUUACUGGGUGUAAAGGGAGCGUAGACGGCAGCGCAAGUCUGGAGUGAAAUCCCAUGGCUUAACCAUGGAACUGCUUUGGAAACUGUGCAGCGAGAGUGCAGGAGAGGUAAGCGGAAUGCCUAGUGUAGCGGUGAAAUGCGUAGAUAUUAGGAGGAACACCAGUGGCGAAGGCGGCUUACUGGACUGUAACUGACGUUGAGGCUCGAAAGCGUGGGGAGCAAACAGGAUUAGAUACCCCUGUAGUC